RNAcentral lists this small RNA (29 nucleotides) under Bombyx mori (domestic silkworm). Its description in RNAcentral is "ovarian small RNA-34152". The record is from RNAcentral. Lineage: Eukaryota; Metazoa; Arthropoda; Insecta; Lepidoptera; Bombycidae.
UGCUCAAUUGCGUCAUUGAUCCGCUGAGU